GCCAGACUCCUACGGGAGGCAGCAGUCGGGAAUAUUGCGCAAUGGAGGGAACUCUGACGCAGUGACGCCGCGUAUAGGAAGAAGUUUUUCGGAAUGUAAACUAUUGUCGUUAGGGAAGAGAAAGGACGGUACCUAAGGAGGAAGCCCCGGCUAACUAUGUGCCAGCAGCCGCGGUAAUACAUAGGGGGCAAGCGUUAUCCGGAAUUAUUGGGUGUAAAGGGUACGUAGACGGGAAAUUAAGUUAGUUGUGAAAUCCCCAGGCUCAACUUGGGAAUUGCAACUAAAACUGGUUUUCUUGGGUACUGGAGAGGAAAGUGGAAUUCCUAGUGUAGCGGUGAAAUGCGUAGAUAUUAGGAGGAACACCAGUGGCGAAGGCGACUUUCUGGACAGAAACUGACGUUGAGGCACGAAAGUGUGGGGAGCAAACAGGAUUAGAUACCCCAGUAACG
RNAcentral lists this ribosomal RNA (449 nucleotides) under uncultured bacterium. Its description in RNAcentral is "bacterial SSU rRNA". It matches the Rfam family "Bacterial small subunit ribosomal RNA", at positions 330 to 793 of the family's 1533-position model. The record is from RNAcentral.